RNAcentral lists this ribosomal RNA (1491 nucleotides) under Serratia proteamaculans. Its description in RNAcentral is "bacterial SSU rRNA". It matches the Rfam family "Bacterial small subunit ribosomal RNA". The record is from RNAcentral. Lineage: Bacteria; Pseudomonadati; Pseudomonadota; Gammaproteobacteria; Enterobacterales; Yersiniaceae.
CUGGCUCAGAUUGAACGCUGGCGGCAGGCCUAACACAUGCAAGUCGAGCGGUAGCACAAGAGAGCUUGCUCUCUGGGUGACGAGCGGCGGACGGGUGAGUAAUGUCUGGGAAACUGCCUGAUGGAGGGGGAUAACUACUGGAAACGGUAGCUAAUACCGCAUAACGUCUUCGGACCAAAGUGGGGGACCUUCGGGCCUCACGCCAUCAGAUGUGCCCAGAUGGGAUUAGCUAGUAGGUGGGGUAAUGGCUCACCUAGGCGACGAUCCCUAGCUGGUCUGAGAGGAUGACCAGCCACACUGGAACUGAGACACGGUCCAGACUCCUACGGGAGGCAGCAGUGGGGAAUAUUGCACAAUGGGCGCAAGCCUGAUGCAGCCAUGCCGCGUGUGUGAAGAAGGCCUUCGGGUUGUAAGCACUUUCAGCGAGGAGGAAGGGUAGUGUGUUAAUAGCACAUUGCAUUGACGUUACUCGCAGAAGAAGCACCGGCUAACUCCGUGCCAGCAGCCGCGGUAAUACGGAGGGUGCAAGCGUUAAUCGGAAUUACUGGGCGUAAAGCGCACGCAGGCGGUUUGUUAAGUCAGAUGUGAAAUCCCCGCGCUUAACGUGGGAACUGCAUUUGAAACUGGCAAGCUAGAGUCUUGUAGAGGGGGGUAGAAUUCCAGGUGUAGCGGUGAAAUGCGUAGAGAUCUGGAGGAAUACCGGUGGCGAAGGCGGCCCCCUGGACAAAGACUGACGCUCAGGUGCGAAAGCGUGGGGAGCAAACAGGAUUAGAUACCCUGGUAGUCCACGCUGUAAACGAUGUCGACUUGGAGGUUGUGCCCUUGAGGCGUGGCUUCCGGAGCUAACGCGUUAAGUCGACCGCCUGGGGAGUACGGCCGCAAGGUUAAAACUCAAAUGAAUUGACGGGGGCCCGCACAAGCGGUGGAGCAUGUGGUUUAAUUCGAUGCAACGCGAGAACCUUACCUACUCUUGACAUCCAGAGAAUUCGCUAGAGAUAGCUUAGUGCCUUCGGGAACUCUGAGACAGGUGCUGCAUGGCUGUCGUCAGCUCGUGUUGUGAAAUGUUGGGUUAAGUCCCGCAACGAGCGCAACCCUUAUCCUUUGUUGCCAGCGCGUAAUGGUGGGAACUCAAAGGAGACUGCCGGUGAUAAACCGGAGGAAGGUGGGGAUGACGUCAAGUCAUCAUGGCCCUUACGAGUAGGGCUACACACGUGCUACAAUGGCGUAUACAAAGAGAAGCGAACUCGCGAGAGCCAGCGGACCUCAUAAAGUACGUCGUAGUCCGGAUCGGAGUCUGCAACUCGACUCCGUGAAGUCGGAAUCGCUAGUAAUCGUAGAUCAGAAUGCUACGGUGAAUACGUUCCCGGGCCUUGUACACACCGCCCGUCACACCAUGGGAGUGGGUUGCAAAAGAAGUAGGUAGCUUAACCUUCGGGAGGGCGCUUACCACUUUGUGAUUCAUGACUGGGGUGAAGUCGUACAGGGGGAACC